This 315-nucleotide ribosomal RNA is filed under the name uncultured eukaryote. Its description in RNAcentral is "partial 18S ribosomal RNA". It matches the Rfam family "Eukaryotic small subunit ribosomal RNA", at positions 1470 to 1796 of the family's 1831-position model. The record is from RNAcentral.
CCCUUAGACGUUCUGGGCCGCACGCGCGCUACACUGACCAGUGCAACAAGCAUCCGUCCUUGGCCGACAGGCUCGGGCAAUCUUUGAACGCUGGUCGUGAUGGGGAUAGACUUUUGCAAUUUUUGGUCUUCAACGAGGAAUUCCUAGUAAACGCAAGUCAUCAACUUGCAUUGAUUUCGUCCCUGCCCUUUGUACACACCGCCCGUCGCACCUACCGAUUGAAUGGUCCGGUGAAGCCUCCGGAUUGGCGCGCACCUCGGUGCCGCCGAGAAGUUGGCUAAACCUUACCAUUUAGAGGAAGGUGAAGUCGUAACA